RNAcentral lists this ribosomal RNA (64 nucleotides) under Spirochaetes bacterium GWF1_51_8. Its description in RNAcentral is "partial 16S ribosomal RNA". The record is from RNAcentral. Lineage: Bacteria; Pseudomonadati; Spirochaetota.
AUAGAAGUGAUAACGGAGGGUUUGAUUCUGGCUCAGAGCGAACGCUGGCGGCGUGUUUUAGGCA